This 492-nucleotide ribosomal RNA is filed under the name uncultured bacterium. RNAcentral's name for it is "partial 16S ribosomal RNA". It matches the Rfam family "Bacterial small subunit ribosomal RNA", at positions 29 to 507 of the family's 1533-position model. The record is from RNAcentral.
AGUGAACGCUGGCGGUAGGCUUAACACAUGCAAGUCGAACGGCAGCACAGUAAGAGCUUGCUCUUACGGGUGGCGAGUGGCGGACGGGUGAGGAAUACAUCGGAAUCUACUUUUUCGUGGGGGAUAACGUAGGGAAACUUACGCUAAUACCGCAUACGACCUACGGGCGAAAGCAGGGGAUCUUCGGACCUUGCGCGAUUGAAUGAGCCGAUGUCGGAUUAGCUAGUUGGCGGGGUAAAGGCCCACCAAGGCGACGAUCCGUAGCUGGUCUGAGAGGAUGAUCAGCCACACUGGAACUGAGACACGGUCCAGACUCCUACGGGAGGCAGCAGUGGGGAAUAUUGGACAAUGGGCGCAAGCCUGAUCCAGCCAUACCGCGUGGGUGAAGAAGGCCUUCGGGUUGUAAAGCCCUUUUGUUGGGAAAGAAAAGCAGCAGGUUAAUACCCCGCUGUUCUGACGGUACCCAAAGAAUAAGCACCGGCUAACUUCGUG